GCCUAGGGUAGAGGAGCUGUAAUUAAAAGUAUUUAUUCGGAGUCGGUAGGCUGAGAUGAAUAAAGAAAGGAAUUAUGGCCGAAGAAAGUAAAUUGACGAAUUUAUUUUCUGGCCUUGCAUAGAAUAUGUGCAAGGUUGUCGCGUAUUUAACGUGGAGAGCUACAAGGUAC
Molecule: non-coding RNA, 170 nt
Filed under: Clostridium homopropionicum
Lineage: Bacteria; Bacillati; Bacillota; Clostridia; Eubacteriales; Clostridiaceae
Also listed under: 1 other name
Description: Lysine sequence
Rfam family: Lysine riboswitch aptamer
About the family: Riboswitches are metabolite binding domains within certain messenger RNAs that serve as precision sensors for their corresponding targets. Allosteric rearrangement of mRNA structure is mediated by ligand binding, and this results in modulation of gene expression.
Source: RNAcentral